UAAUCCCAGCACUUUGGGAGGCCGAGGUGGGUGGAUCACGAGGUCAGGAGAUCGAGACCAUCCUGGCUAACACGGUGAAACCCCGUCUCUAUUAAAAAUACAAAAAAUUAGCCGGGUAUGGUGGCGGGCGCCUGUAGUCCCAGCUACUCGGGAGGCUGAGGCAGGAGAAUGGCGUGAACCCGGGAGGUGGAGGUUGCAGUGAGCCGAGAUUGCGCCACUGCACUCCAGCCUGGGUGACAGAGUGAGACUCUGUCUCAGAAAAAAAAAAAAAAAAAAAAAAAAAAAAGG
Molecule: long non-coding RNA, 288 nt
Filed under: Homo sapiens (human)
Lineage: Eukaryota; Metazoa; Chordata; Mammalia; Primates; Hominidae
Description: HSALNT0329639
Source: RNAcentral